UAAUUUAGUAGUUUUUUGUAAACUUUAUAAAUGUCAAUGAUAGUUACCUGAUAAAUUAGUAUCGUAGGUAAUGUUUUUUCCUUGAGUUAAAAAUCAGCUAGAAAAGUAAUUUAAAGCACGAUGUGUUUGAGAUUGUAGAUGUUGUAGAAACAUACAGCAGUGUACCUACUUAAUAAACUUUACCGCUGAAUAAGAAUUAAUUUAUUGAUCCUGUAUUCAAUAAGUAUAACUUUUCAUCUUCAAGGAAAUCUACUAUUAAGACACUACAAAUGGAAAUGGCACACUCUGAUGGAAUUUUAAGUUCGAUUCUUACUGCGAAUGAUUUUAACAGUGAUUAUUCAGCAAGGACCACUUUAAAUCUGCCAUUUAAGUCAUCAUGUUGAAGAAAGAUGCUGUCAUAUUGAAGUUUCGAGAAAGAGGGAAAAUUGUGAAGUUCGUCCCUGUUUUUUUGUGGUGCAUACGAAAACUGUUGCUGAAUUUUUCAUAAAAGCAUUUAACGACCACUUGGAAAUAUAUUUUCAAGCAAAUAUAGACUAACAAUUGGAACUCAAACUGUAUCAAACAGUUUAAAGUUAUGAAAAGAAAAUUAUUUUAUUUAAUAACAAUUAAGUAUUUUUAAUUUCUGUUUUACCACAAGGUUGUCAACGUUAAUUUUGAACAAUGAAGGUAAUGUAUUGCAUUUACAAUUGGAUGAAAUUUAUAUUACAGUGUGUUUUGUUUUUAAAUAAAAGUAUUAUGCUGUGAAA
Molecule: non-coding RNA, 746 nt
Organism: Parasteatoda tepidariorum (common house spider)
Lineage: Eukaryota; Metazoa; Arthropoda; Arachnida; Araneae; Theridiidae
Source: RefSeq, a predicted model, not a curated record